CAUCAUCAAUAAAGAAUGCCAUUGACCAAACCUUCAGUCAUCAACGGAGAUGGAUACAGGUAAUGACAAAAUCACCAACUGUUGGUGAAAUCUUUAAGGAAUAUCCCCAAUGUCUGGACAUGCCAGUCUUUGUAAUAUACUUAACUGCAGAUAACUUUAAACAAAGUGUUUCAUCAUUUCAAUAUUAAUAUUUCUUAUUAAAUUUACUGAAGGUGGACAUCAAGUUUUCCAGACUUACCGAUAGGAAAGAAGACAUGUUUAUCAGGAAAUGGGAGGUGAAAAUUAUUGAGAAACUCAGGGAAAUAGCAUCUUUAGAGAAGAAAAUGGACAUCAGACAUUCAUUGAAGAAAGCUGACAGUCAACAUAAUGAUCUUCUGCUGUGUGAAGUCUGUGUGAAGUCUCAGACCUGUGGGACUUGGUGGCGGCUGGUACCAGCGUGACCUCUUUGCUUACUAAAUGAUGAAAAGGUGUCUAAAAUCAGCUCAGCCACAGUUGGUUUCCAGCGGUUCUUCAGGACAUAGAGGCCACUAUGUAAUUGUCGCAAUGAAUGAUUCUCUUGCCUUUCCACUUGAUGUUUACAAUCUGACCUGUGCGGUAGAAAGACUUUUCAAAUUUACUAGCUAAGUAACCUUAAGUAUCCCUGCCAACUGUCUUCAGGUUUUUUUUGGUAUGAAUAUGAUCUACCCUUGUCCCAGUCCUCUUGCAAACGAUCCAAGCCAAUGGAGUUUCAAAAUGGACCGAAAAUUGCAGUCUGUUUUAACCAAUGCAUGCACUGUGUGGCGGUUUCCCGGACAGGGAUUAGACUAGUCCUAGACUAAAACAUUUUUAAGAGCUGUCCAAACUGAAAACAACUUGCACUGACAUAUCUUAAAAUACAUCAGUGCCCUUUGUUUUGCCUCAAAAUGCACACAGGUAAUGUUUUUAUUAAGGCAUGUUUGUUAAAACCAGAUAUAUUUCCUAAUUAAUCUAAGGCCUAGUCCUGGAUUAAGAUAAUCCCUGUCCGGGAAACCGCCCCUAAAUAUUUUGUGAUGGAAAUUUCUUUGAAUACACUUGUCAAGUUCAUUUGAAGUAU
This is a non-coding RNA of Misgurnus anguillicaudatus (oriental weatherfish), 1072 nucleotides long. NCBI's taxonomy places the organism in Eukaryota, Metazoa, Chordata, Actinopteri, Cypriniformes, Cobitidae. The record is from RefSeq and is a predicted model, not a curated record.